Molecule: transfer RNA, 90 nt
Filed under: Patescibacteria group bacterium
Lineage: Bacteria
Description: tRNA-Ser
Rfam family: tRNA
About the family: Transfer RNA (tRNA) molecules are approximately 80 nucleotides in length. Their secondary structure includes four short double-helical elements and three loops (D, anti-codon, and T loops).
Source: RNAcentral
GGAGGGAUGCGAGAGUGGUCUAUUCGGCUCGCUUGGAAAGCGACGCGUCAGGAAACUGGCACGGGGGUUCGAAUCCCCCUCCCUCCGCCA